CCUACGGGCGACAGCAGUGAGGAAUAUUGGUCAAUGGACGAGAGUCUGAACCAGCCAAGUAGCGUGAAGGAUGACUGCCCUAUGGGUGGUAAACUUCUUUUAUAUGGGAGUAAAAUGUUCCACGUGUGGGAUUUUGUAUGUACCAUAUGAAUAAGGAUCGGCUAACUCCGUGCCAGCAGCCGCGGUAAUACGGAGGAUCCGAGCGUUAUCCGGAUUUAUUGGGUUUAAAGGGAGCGUAGGUGGAUUGUUAAGUCAGUUGUGAAAGUUUGCGGCGCAACCGUAAAAUUGCAGUUGAAACUGGCAGUCUUGAGUACAGUAGAGGUGGGCGGAAUUCGUGGUGUAGCGGUGAAAUGCUUAGAUAUCACGAAGAACUCCGAUUGCGAAGGCAGCUCACUGGACUGCAACUGACACUGAGGCUCGAAAGUGUGGGUAUCAAACAGGAUUAGAUACCCGGGUAGUC
This 460-nucleotide ribosomal RNA is filed under the name uncultured bacterium. RNAcentral's name for it is "partial 16S ribosomal RNA". It matches the Rfam family "Bacterial small subunit ribosomal RNA", at positions 338 to 795 of the family's 1533-position model. The record is from RNAcentral.